GCAAGUCGAGCGAAUCGAUGGGAGCUUGCUCCCUGAGAUUAGCGGCGGACGGGUGAGUAACACGUGGGCAACCUGCCUAUAAGACUGGGAUAACUUCGGGAAACCGGAGCUAAUACCGGAUACGUUCUUUUCUCGCAUGAGAGAAGAUGGAAAGACGGUUUACGCUGUCACUUAUAGAUGGGCCCGCGGCGCAUUAGCUAGUUGGUGAGGUAAUGGCUCACCAAGGCGACGAUGCGUAGCCGACCUGAGAGGGUGAUCGGCCACACUGGGACUGAGACACGGCCCAGACUCCUACGGGAGGCAGCAGUAGGGAAUCUUCCGCAAUGGACGAAAGUCUGACGGAGCAACGCCGCGUGAACGAAGAAGGCCUUCGGGUCGUAAAGUUCUGUUGUUAGGGAAGAACAAGUACCAGAGUAACUGCUGGUACCUUGACGGUACCUAACCAGAAAGCCACGGCUAACUACGUGCCAGCAGCCGCGGUAAUACGUAGGUGGCAAGCGUUGUCCGGAAUUAUUGGGCGUAAAGCGCGCGCAGGUGGUUCCUUAAGUCUGAUGUGAAAGCCCACGGCUCAACCGUGGAGGGUCAUUGGAAACUGGGGAACUUGAGUGCAGAAGAGGAAAGUGGAAUUCCAAGUGUAGCGGUGAAAUGCGUAGAGAUUUGGAGGAACACCAGUGGCGAAGGCGACUUUCUGGUCUGUAACUGACACUGAGGCGCGAAAGCGUGGG
This 725-nucleotide ribosomal RNA is filed under the name Bacillus sp. R383. Its description in RNAcentral is "bacterial SSU rRNA". It matches the Rfam family "Bacterial small subunit ribosomal RNA", at positions 57 to 765 of the family's 1533-position model. The record is from RNAcentral. Lineage: Bacteria; Bacillati; Bacillota; Bacilli; Caryophanales; Bacillaceae.